Molecule: ribosomal RNA, 254 nt
Filed under: uncultured bacterium
Lineage: Bacteria
Description: partial 16S ribosomal RNA
Rfam family: Bacterial small subunit ribosomal RNA
Source: RNAcentral
UACGGGGGGGGCAAGCGUUGUUCGGAUUUACUGGGCGUAAAGGGCGCGUAGGCGGUCAGCACAAGUCAGUUGUGAAAUCUCCGGGCUUAACUCGGAAAGGUCAACUGAUACUGUGCGACUAGAGUGCAGAAGGGGCAACUGGAAUUCUCGGUGUAGCGGUGAAAUGCGUAGAUAUCGAGAGGAACACCUGCGGCGAAGGCGGGUUGCUGGGCUGACACUGACGCUGAUGCGCGAAAGCGUGGGGAGCAAACAGG